CAUUUUAAAUUCACAUUCUUCUGUAAUCCUUUAAAAUUACCAACCAUCAUAUGCCACAAAAGAGUAAAGUGAAAAGUUUCAAUCUCUGCUUGGGAAAAUAAAGAAGACAGGUUGCUCAUAGGUUUCAACUGUAAGUCCAAAUAGUUAAAUCGAAACUUAGUCCAUUAUUAAGUGACUAACACAAUCGUUUGUAAUUUGUUUUGUCACCAUAAAAGAACAACAGCCAUAGAAAUUAAUCCAUAAAAAUGAAAAUCGUUAAGAGAUCUUAAAAUAAAGAAAAAAACAAGACAGGAAAAAAGAAGAUUAUUUG
RNAcentral lists this long non-coding RNA (310 nucleotides) under Nicotiana benthamiana. RNAcentral describes it as "long non-coding RNA (NBEN_LNC039218)". The record is from RNAcentral. Lineage: Eukaryota; Viridiplantae; Streptophyta; Magnoliopsida; Solanales; Solanaceae.